Unclassified non-coding RNA from Actinia tenebrosa (Australian red waratah sea anemone), 3691 nucleotides. Lineage: Eukaryota; Metazoa; Cnidaria; Anthozoa; Actiniaria; Actiniidae. The record is from RefSeq and is a predicted model, not a curated record.
GGCUGACAAAAUAUAUACAGAAUAAAGACAGAAAUGGUUUAGGAAAAACUCGCUUAAGUGAAACGAAGCGAGAGCAAAACGAGGGCUUACCUAGUGCGAUAGCACGAAGAAAGAAGAGGCUUGGUCUUGGCUCUGCACGUGGUUAUAUACCUUGUCUCUUAAUUUGCAUAAUAAUUUAUCUUUAAAACGUGGGCGCCUUGCGCAUGCGCAAGAAAGUACGCAUAAUAAGGGCAUAAUAUCGAGUAUGGUGAAAGAGAAGUCAUAAUUAUGAGGAUGUCAAGUAAAAAGGACUGGUAUAUAUGGCUCUGGCAUUUUUCUGCACUUCUGCUAGUGGAAAUGAGAUUUGGACACUGGGAAGUGGGAUUUUGGGAAAAAAGUUUUGGUAAUUGGGAUUGGCACUCCCUUCAGGACCCUCUAGACUGUAAGCUUAUGAACACCGUUGUUUUUAAUUAUUCCCAAAACAGAAUUAUGUUCCUUAGCGCUGAGUAUAUGGCCCUAUUCUAAUACAUCAAACCACAUGGUGCGUUCAUCAAUAUACCGCGUACACCUCCUGGUGCACAUGAUCAAAGUUUCACUUUGUUUACCAAAAAAAUUUAGAGCACUAACGAAAUUAACUCAUUCCCCUGAAGAUAUCCUAGCCGAUCAUUGUCAAUUAAGUCCAAGAAAGAUGGUGAAAGAGUUCGUUUUUUUCUUUCGAGUGCUUUGUGUCGCCGUCACUUUUAGAUCAACGUCUUCAGAAGUUCUUCAAGUUGCGGUAGCGAACAAGUCUCUACAUCGAACACCAGAAUUCGGCUUUGCUUACUUCGUUUUUCAGCCAAACAGUAAACUAGAGAUAGAAUACCCCAGUCAGUUCCACGCUCCGAACUACAAGCCGUGUGCACUUGCCUGUGCCAGGAACAUGACUUGUCUAUCGUUCAACUUUGGGAAAAAGCCCCUCUUCCUUUACCAAGGGCAAGCUCAGUACCUCUGUGAGCUGUUGCCGACUGAUAAAUACAACUCUUCGUCCAAGUAUCAAAGUCAAAACUCAGAUUUUGAUCACUACAGCAUCAGGUCGAACUGCAGCAAGUCCCCCUGUCUUCACAAUUUUACUUGUAUUGCAAACUAUACUGAAGAUACUUAUGAAUGUUCGUGCCCGAGACCUGCAUUUGAAGGCAAACACUGCAAUGAUGUUGAUGAAUGUACUACAGGGCAGCAUAACUGUGGUCCAAAUGCAACUUGUACCAACAUUGUCGGCUCAUACAACUGCGAGAUAACAUCAUGCACCUACGAAAAGGCACUCGGAAUGGAAAGCAGAGAAAUACCAGAUUCUUCAAUAACAGCCUCCUCUUCAUGGGGUGGUGGAGAUUCAGGAAACCAGGCCAGAUUGAACAAUAAUCCAGCUCACUGGGCACCAUCUUCCAGUCGAGUCGGGGAAUGGCUGCAGGUAGACUUUGGCAGGCUGACACUCGUAACCAAAGUUGUUACACAAGGAAGACCAUAUUCACCGGAAAUGUACAUGACUAGUUACUUGUUGUCGUACAGACGAGAGAAUGAAAACUGGACAAGCUACGUGCAUACCUCUUUUGGUGGAACACUUCCUGGUAACAUCAAUUAUUAUGGUACCGUCACAAACACCCUAGAUCCAAAGAUCACCACAAGAUACAUACGUAUCCAUCCUCAAACAUGGCACCAGGAUAUUACUAUACGGGUGGAAUUCUAUGGAUGUUACCUGUCUUAAAUCUAUCCGGCAUACACAUCUGGUUGCAAGGCGCAAUAGGCCUUUUGCAACAAUAGUUCACGUGACCUUACCCCCUUAAAAAGAGAGGUUGUGUCGAAAUGAAAAAAGCACCUCGAUAUUAGUAAGAAGGCAAAGUUUCAGCUUAUGACAUAUAACACAGGAGAAAUGGCAUUCCAUACAGCCAGCUAGCACAUUUCCCAUACAAAUUCUUAUAAAAUAUUUGAUUUUAUAUUCGAUGCCAUUUCUUCAAUAGUCAACAUUAUGAGAUAAAACGUUGCCUUCUUACUUAUAUCGAGGUCCUGUUUUCAUUUGUUUUUAGGGGUAGCGUCACGUGACCUGUCGUUGCAAAAAGCCUAAUCAUGCACUAGCUGCUACGAAUGACUCUUAAUUUCUGAUUGGUUACUAUCAAUGUUCUAUAAACGCAACAUACUAUACCAUCAUUAUUCUUUUUUUCGAAUUGGAAUUUUACAGAUUUAAUAAUUGCCCCUUGACUUCAAAGACAAAGAAUAUAGGUUGCUAUCAAUAGACGUGAUUUCAGGUCACGUAUUGCGUAAAGGAAGGCUUAUCAGCCUCACCGCUCACGAACACUUUAUUUUUGUAUGUAUUAUUGGUUACGUCAUAUCCGUAACGUUUCACUUAGUCAUUACACGUCUCAAUUGCCCUAUUUCACUAUGUCGUCACUGCUUGUUUAUAGCUCUUCAUUCAGCUCACUUACAUGCAGAUUUACCCCUUUCAUGCAGCGUUGAGUCAUCAGCAUACAUGUCAAUAUUUGAGUCUGUUGAUAGAGGUAACAGCUGCGAGGAUACUGGCUUCCAUCCUGAGAAGAAGGGCCAGUACCUCAAACAUCACGUCAUUGAUACCAUGACAACCGAAACUGCGUCCUUGUGUCGCAUCAUGUGUUAUCUACAAGAGUCUUGCAAGUCAUACAACUAUCAACCAAGCAAUGGAUCCUGUGAGCUUAGUGACUCAGAUGAAACCGAACAUCCUUAUGAUCUUGUUCUCAAUCCUGAACAUGUCUACGUUAGCAGAAAGAACCCUUGUGAAAAUAAUUAAUGUCCUCGGCAUAGUGUCUGCAAGCCGAAUUUGAUGAACGGAAGUCACAGCUGCCCGUGCUCUCGUGGCUAUGAAGGUCCAAAUUGUAAUGAAGAUAUUAAUGAAUGUGAGACUAGCAAACACGACUGUCCAAGCGACUUUAAAUGCAUCAAUACUGAGGGGUCCUUUACUUACGAGAAGUUAUUUGGAGGGGAAAACGUCAGUUCAGGUAAUAUUGUCACAUAGAAAAAAUGUUCCAGCCUCAAAUACUAGGAAAAGAGAAUAAAUAAUAAAUAUAUAUUAAUUAUAAUAAUUACUAUAAUAAAAAAAAGCUCACAAAUUUGAGCCCUGAAACAAUCUCUGAGCUGAGACCUUAUCCGCAAAAAACUCACAGAUCGAACCCAGAAACAACCUCUGGGCUGAUCAAAGACAGGACUUGGCUAACUCACACCAAGAACCCUGAUACAACCUCUGAGCUGAUUAUACCCUGAAACAACCUCUGGGCUGAUCUAAGUCAGGGCACGGCUAACUCACAGAUGAAAUCCUGAUACAACCUCUGAGCUAAUCUAAGUCAGGGCAAGGCUAACUCACAAAUUGAACCCUGAAACAACCUUUUGGAUGAUCAAAGUCAGGGCAUGGCUAACUCACAGAUCGAACCCUGAAACAACCUCUUGACUGAUCUAAGUCAUGGUGAGCGAACAGAGAACUUACAGAUCGAACAAGGAUUUACAGUAUUUCCUGACAGGCGAGUUCACUUCUGGCCACUACGCCACCCUUAAUUCCCUAAAACUAAACCUUUGUGCACAUUGUUCCUGACCUACAUUUUGGCUGCCUUGAAACUUCUCUAUCCCCUAGUCACCAAACUUUACAAAUGAAUUGGCAAGAAAACAAUGAACAACAAACACUACAAGAAUGCUAGGCUUUUUUUUUUUUUUUUUUUUU